UAUUAUAUUACACUACAAAAAAUUAUUUAUACGUGUGGUCCUGAUCAAGAUACAUUUACAUACCCUAAGGCAUUCAGACCAAGACUUAUAUCCCCUGUUGUUAUAUAUACGGUUAAUAUAAAUGCACACACAGGGGUUUCUCAUUGGCUAUGAAUUUGUUAUCCAAGUUCGUGCAGUUAUGAGGUUGCAAGGGAAGUUGUGAAGGAAAGCAAAAUAUUCACUCAUGUAUGACUUAUCAAAUUAGUACCCAUUCAAAAACCUGUCUUCAUUGAGCAUGUGCUUCUGUCCUGACUUGUAAUUUGUUUGUAUGUUAAGCUUCUCAGGUGAUUCUUGGAUAUUACAGCAUUCACUAGACCAGUUAAAAAGUAAACAAGAGAAAGACCAACAGUGCUUUUGAGAUACAGGUAUUAAAAGGAGAGUGAUUUGAAAAUUAAAGCAUUAAGAGAGGCACUAGGGAAGCUUAAUGUAACUUUUGAGUGUUUUGAAAACAAAACCUUUAUGAUUGGCCUGUGAAAAUCAAAUGACUUUGAAUUGGGCUAGCAUACAAUUUUUUGGAAAAAAUUUUGCCACAAAGACAACAUUUAAUUUGCUCUUUUUAUGUUCUAAGAAUAAGCACAUAGUUUUUAUUAUAAUCUGAAUUGUAUUACAUAUAAGAUAAACUAAAAGUUUUUCAAAAGAAUGUCCAAAUCAAGCUUUUUAUUCCCAUUAUUUUGUAAAACUUGGACUCUGUAUUAAAUGGAUUUACUUUGUAUGGCCUUGUCUGGUUAUCACUUAACCUUAUUUGAAUCUUGUACUUGAAUUCUAGUUCUUACUCAUUUUAGAAGAUUUAUGAAAUCUUACUACUUUGUGAAUUCACCCAUUCUUCAUUCCCUUCGCUAUAUUGGACUUUGCUAAAUAUCUGGAAAGUGUAUCUUAUUGGCUUCAUGUACAUGGCAUGUUUUCCUGGAAAAGUUUUAUUUAAUCUGUGUACAAUGCCUAUAGUGGGUAGAAAGCAUUGUAAAAUUAGUUUAUCUUUGCUCUGUCUGGAAGUAAAUAGAUAAGUAUGUUUUGUUCUUUUGUGAUUAGCAUAUUGGCAUAUAUGUUGAAUGCCUACUUAUAUUUCUGAAAUUAGAUUUUUCAGUUUUCCAACUUGGAAAAUCUAUAUGCAGUUAUAGGAAUCCUUUUUUGCAAAGUCAUCAUCUCAUGAUAUGAAACCAUAUUAGUAUUUUUUUAGCCCUUUAAUGAGAAGUGGUAUAAGAAAUAUUUUGACAAGGAUUAUAGCCUAGAUUUUCCCAUGUUUGCUCUUUAUGUAUAAAGAAAAAUUUGUGAGUGGAUUACUUAUUAACUAUCUACCAUAGCCCAAUGGGGUAGACUUUGUUCAGAGAAUUGACCUUUGCUUAUAAAAGUUAAAUUUGUGGGCGGACCAUGCGGCUGGAGGUGUGACUAUCAGCCCAGGAGUGAGAGGGCGGAGGCAGCUCUUGCAAUCGAAAGGGACUUGAGACUCACCAGCCGCACGCCAUGAAGGCCCUGUGGGUGCUGGGCCUCUGCCGUGUCCUGCUGACCAUCGGGUCGGUCAGAGCUGAUGAUGAAGUUGAUGUGGAUGGUACAGUAGAAGAGGAUCUGGGUAAAAAUAGAGAAGGUUCAAGGACAGACGAUGAAGUAGUACAGAGAGAGGAAGAAGCUAUUCAGUUGAAUGAAUUAAAUGCAUCAUAAAUAAGAGUCCGAAAAGUUUGCCUUCCAAGCUGAAGUUAACAGAAUGAUGAAACUUCUCAUCAAUUCGUUGUAUGAAAAUAAAGAGAUUUUCCUGAGAGAACUGAUUCUGAGGCUUUAGAUAAGAUAAGGCUAAUAUCACUGACUGAUGAAAAUGCUCUUUCUGGAAAUGAGAAACUAACAGUCAAAAUUAAGUGCGAUAAGGUGAAGAAUCUGCUGUGUGUCACAGACACUGGUGUAGGAAUGACCAGAGAAGAGUUGGUUAAAAACUUUGGUACCAUUGCCACAUCUGGGACAAACAAGUUUUUAAACAAAAUGACUGAAGCACAGGAAGAUGGCCAGUCAACUUCCUGAAUUGAUUGGCCAGUUUGGCGUCGGUUUCUAUUCCACCUUCCUUGUAGCAGAUAAGGUUAUUUUCACUUCAAAACACAACAAUGAUACCCAGGACAUCUGGGAGUCCAACUCCAGUGAAUAUUCUGUAAUUGCUGACUCAAGAGGAGACACUCUAGGACGGGGAACAACAAUUACCCUUGUCUUAAAAGAAAAAGCAUUUGAUUACCUUGAAUUGGAUACAAUUAAAAAUCUUGUCAAAAAUAUUCACAGUUCGUAAACCUUCCUAUUUAUGUAUGGAGCAGCAAGACUGGAACUGCUGAGGAGCCCAUGAAGGAAGAAGCAGCAGCAAAAGAAGAGAAAGAAGAAUCUUAUGAUGAAGCUAUAGAAGAAGAAGAAAGAAAAGAAAAGAAACCGAAGACUAAAAAAGUUGAAAAACCUGUCUGUGAAUGGGAACUUAUGAAUGAUAUCAAACCAAUAUGGCAGAGACCAUCCAAAGGAGUAGAAGAUGAAUACAAAGCUUUCUGCAAAUCAUUUUCAAAGGAAAGUGAUGACACUGUGGCUUAUAUCCACUUUACUGCUGAAGGGGAAGUUACCUUCAAAUCAAUUUCAUUUGUACCCACAUUUGUUCCACGUGGCCUAUUUGACACAUAUGGAUCUAAAAAGAGCAAUUACAUUAAGCUCUAUGUGCGCUGCGGAUUCAUCACAGAUGACUUCCAUGUUAUGGUGCCUAAGUACGUUAAUUUUGUCAAGGGUGUGGUGGACUCAGAUGGUCUCUUUGAAUGUUUCCUGCAAGACUCUUCAGCAACAUAAACUGCUUAAGGUGAUUAGGAAGAAACUUGUCCGUAAAACUCUGCGCAUGAUCAAGAAGAUUGUUGAUGAGAAAUACAAUGAUACUUUUUGGAAAGAAUUUGGUACCAACAUUAAGCUUGGCGUGAUUGAAGACCACUCGAAUCGAACACAUCUUGCUAAACUUCUUAAGUUCCAGUUUUCUCAUCAUCCAACCGACAUUGCUAGCCUACACCAGUAUGUGGAAAGAAUGAAGGAAAAACAAGACAAAAUCUACCUCAUGGCUGGGUCCAGCAGAAAAGAGGCUGAAUCUUCUCCAUUUGUUUAGCGACUUCUGAAAAAGGGCUAUGAAGUUAUUUACUUCACAGAACCUGUGGAUGAAUACUGCAUUCAGGCCCUUCCCGAAUUUGAUGGGAAGAGGUUCCAGAAUGUUGCCAAGGAAGGAGUGAAGUUUGAUGAAAGUGAGAAAACUAAGGAGAGUCAUGAAGCAGUUGAGAAAGAAUUUGAGCCUCUGCUCAAUUGGAUGAAAGAUAAAGCCCUUAAGGGCAAGAUUGAAAAGGCUGUGGUAUCUCAGUGCCUGACAGAAUCUCCAUGUGCUUUGGUGGCCAGCCAGUACGGGUGGUCUGGCAACAUGGAGAGAAUCAUGAAAGCACAAGUGUACCAAACGGGCAAGGACAUCUCUACAAAUUACCAUGUGAGUCAGAAGAAAACAUUUGAAAUUAAUCCCAGACAUCCGCUGAUCAGAGACAUGCUUCAACGAAUUAAGGAAGAUGAAGAUGAUAAAACAGUUUUGGAUCUUGCUAUGGUUUUGUUUGAAACAGCAGUGCUCCAGUCAGGAUAUCUUUUACCAGACACUAAAGCAUAUGGACAUAGAAUAGAAAGAAUGCCUUGCCUCAGUUUGAACAUUGAUCCUGAUGCAAAGAUGGAAGAACCCAAAGAAGAACCUGAGGAGACAACAGAAGACGCAGAGCAAGACAAAGACAAAGAAAUGGAUAUGGGAACAGAUGAAGAACAAGAAACAGCAAAGGAAUCUACAGCUGAAAAAGAUGAAUUGUAAAUUAUACUCUCACUGUUUGGAUCCUGUGUGGAGAGGGAAUGUGAAAUUUAAGUCAUUUCUUUUGGGAGAGACUUGUUUUAGAUGCACCCCACCAGUCCCCUUCUCCCUGCACUGUUAAAUGUGGGAUUAUGGGUUACAGGAAGAAGUGGGUUUUUUAGUUGAAUUUUUUAAACAUAACUUAUUUGUACUAUUUAACUGACUAUUCUUGAUGUAAAAUCUUGUCAUGUGUAUAAAAAUAAAAAAGAUUCCCCCCCCACCAAAAGUUAAACUUUUGGUCUUGUCAUAGUUUCUCAGCUUCAGUUUUUUAUUUAUGAAAAUAAGAAUCUACUGUCCAGUAAAUUGAUGUUUAUAAUAGCUUAUGGUAAUACAUUUUAUUUCUCUGCAACCUUUUUAAUCAUCAAAGAUUAAAUUGUUGUGUAUGUUUAUAAUUAUGUAUAUAUUUUACUUUAAUUGUUUUCUCUUAGCUGGAAUAUUUGAUUUAUGUAUAUCAAAGAACUUUGUAAACUAUAAAGUGCUGUACAGAUAUGAGGAGAUGGUGGGAAUAGUAGCAGUCAUCCCAAAGCCUGCGCAUUGCCUGAUUAUAUCAGAUACAUGACAGCUUACAGCGCAGUUUUUGAAAACAGGUAAAACAUUACUUUUCCUAGAGUGCUCAAAACUAGUAGUGAUUCUUAGGGCUUUUGGAAUAUUUGCUGAUGUUAAAAUACAGUUCCUAAAAGAGAGUAAUAUGUGCAGUUUUAUUUACAACUGCAAUACUGUCCAAAACUGGGGAAAACAUUAUUGAAAAUGUAUAGUAUCUCGAAUAUAUUAUUGCUUAAUUGGCCUUUUACUUACGGAUUUUAAACAAGCUUGAGAAUCUGUCAGUCACUUCCAUGUUCAUGUUGUUUUAGUGUUUCUUAACAUUGUUUUUUUUGUUUCCUGUUAACAUUUUUGCAUGUGUGUUAAACGCCUUCUCUCAGCAUUUUCCUCCUUUCCUCUCCCACCCCUCAGCAUAUUAGGCCUCUUGCUGAGAAUAGAAGUUGUCGCUAAUACACAACCUCUACCCUUCUCCCUUUUGCCCCUUAGUUGCUCAGAGCCAUGUAGUGGCUUGUAUUUGUAGGAUGAUUGCAUGGCAAAAGUCCAGAACUUGGCGAGUGCUCAUAUUUAGAACUAAAGCACAAGAAAAAGCCUUUUUGCACAUUUAAAAGAAUAAACUUUGCAAUUACAAAA
RNA transcript from Macaca mulatta (Rhesus monkey), 5071 nucleotides. It is a transcript of the gene named endoplasmin-like, with no coding region annotated. Lineage: Eukaryota; Metazoa; Chordata; Mammalia; Primates; Cercopithecidae. The record is from RefSeq and is a predicted model, not a curated record.